This 466-nucleotide ribosomal RNA is filed under the name uncultured bacterium. RNAcentral's name for it is "bacterial SSU rRNA". It matches the Rfam family "Bacterial small subunit ribosomal RNA", at positions 28 to 496 of the family's 1533-position model. The record is from RNAcentral.
GAUGAACGCUAGCGGCAGGCUUAACACAUGCAAGUCGAGGGGUAUUGGUUUUCGGACCAAGAGACCGGCGCACGGGUGCGUAACGCGUAUGCAAUCUACCUUUUGCAGAGGGAUAGCCCAGAGAAAUUUGGAUUAAUACCUCAUAGUAUAGUACUUUGGCAUCAAGGAACUAUUAAAGUCACAACGGCAAAAGAUGAGCAUGCGUCCCAUUAGCUAGUUGGUAAGGUAACGGCUUACCAAGGCUACGAUGGGUAGGGUCCUGAGAGGGAGAUCCCCCACACUGGUACUGAGACACGGACCAGACUCCUACGGGAGGCAGCAGUGAGGAAUAUUGGACAAUGGGCGCAAGCCUGAUCCAGCCAUGCCGCGUGCAGGAUGACGGUCCUAUGGAUUGUAAACUGCUUUUANACAGGAAGAAACACUCCGACGUGUCGGAGCUUGACGGUACUGUAAGAAUAAGGAUCGG